RNAcentral lists this ribosomal RNA (592 nucleotides) under Chaetomium globosum. RNAcentral's name for it is "eukaryotic LSU rRNA". The stretch from base 233 to 386 matches the Rfam family "5.8S ribosomal RNA". Lineage: Eukaryota; Fungi; Ascomycota; Sordariomycetes; Sordariales; Chaetomiaceae. The record is from RNAcentral.
UGGAAGGAAAAAAGUCGUAACAAGGUCUCCGUUGGUGAACCAGCGGAGGGAUCAUUACAGAGUUGCAAAACUCCCUAAACCAUUGUGAACGUUACCUAUACCGUUGCUUCGGCGGGCGGCCCCGGGGUUUACCCCCCGGGCGCCCCUGGGCCCCACCGCGGGCGCCCGCCGGAGGUCACCAAACUCUUGAUAAUUUAUGGCCUCUCUGAGUCUUCUGUACUGAAUAAGUCAAAACUUUCAACAACGGAUCUCUUGGUUCUGGCAUCGAUGAAGAACGCAGCGAAAUGCGAUAAGUAAUGUGAAUUGCAGAAUUCAGUGAAUCAUCGAAUCUUUGAACGCACAUUGCGCCCGCCAGCAUUCUGGCGGGCAUGCCUGUUCGAGCGUCAUUUCAACCAUCAAGCCCCCGGGCUUGUGUUGGGGACCUGCGGCUGCCGCAGGCCCUGAAAAGCAGUGGCGGGCUCGCUGUCGCACCGAGCGUAGUAGCAUACAUCUCGCUCUGGUCGCGCCGCGGGUUCCGGCCGUUAAACCACCUUUUUAACCCAAGGUUGACCUCGGAUCAGGUAGGAAGACCCGCUGAACUUAAGCAUAUCAA